GAUGAACGCUGGCGGCGUGCCUAAUACAUGCAAGUCGAGCGAACGGACGAGAAGCUUGCUUCUCUGAUGUUAGCGGCGGACGGGUGAGUAACACGUGGAUAACCUACCUAUAAGACUGGGAUAACGUCGGGAAACCGGAGCUAAUACAGGAUAAUAUUUUGAACCGCAUGGUUCAAAAGUGAAAGACGGUCUUGCUGUCACUUAUAGGUGGAUCCGCGCUGCAUUAGCUAGUUGGUAAGGUAACGGCUUACCAAGGCAACGAUGCAUAGCCGACCUGAGAGGGUGAUCGGCCACACUGGAACUGAGACACGGUCCAGACUCCUACGGGAGGCAGCAGUAGGGAAUCUUCCGCAAUGGGCGAAAGCCUGACGGAGCAACGCCGCGUGAGUGAUGAAGGUUUUCGGAUCGUAAAACUCUGUUAUUAGGGAAGAACAUAUGUGUAAGUAACUGUUCACAUCUUGACGGUACCUAAUCAGAAAGCCACGGCUAACUACGUG
This 497-nucleotide ribosomal RNA is filed under the name uncultured bacterium. Its description in RNAcentral is "partial 16S ribosomal RNA". It matches the Rfam family "Bacterial small subunit ribosomal RNA", at positions 28 to 507 of the family's 1533-position model. The record is from RNAcentral.